GAUCCUGGCUCAGGAUAAACGCUGGCGGCGCACAUAAGACAUGCAAGUCGAACGGAAGUCGUUGUAAUGAUAUAGACAUGGACGGAGAACUUGUUCAAAGGAAGUGAAAGUUGACUUACCAACCAAUGGCUUUAGUGGCGGACUGGUGAGUAACACGUAAGCAACCUGCCCUAUCAGAGGGGAACAACAGUUAGAAAUGACUGCUAAUACCGCAUAUGCCCUAAGUAUCAC
This 231-nucleotide ribosomal RNA is filed under the name uncultured bacterium. Its description in RNAcentral is "partial 16S ribosomal RNA". It matches the Rfam family "Bacterial small subunit ribosomal RNA", at positions 15 to 190 of the family's 1533-position model. The record is from RNAcentral.